AAUCAUACAAGAGUUGUGAUUGGUUGGUUUGAAUCAUACAAGAGCUGUGAUUGGUUGAAAUACCCCACACAUAUAAUCAGCAACAGCUUCGUCCACAUUUUGUGGAAGUUUCCUCGUCUUGGUUUCCGGUAGCAACAUGACAGUGGCCGAGGAAAGCGCGAUCAACCCUGCUGUUAUGUAUGAUGCUGUGGCAGUGUUGCCGGAUUCACCUGGAUUUGGAAGUUAGCCUGGCUACCCUGCCACCCCACAUUUGUUGCCUAUGUGAAUGUGCCAAUAUUCCAACAUCCCAAGUGUGUAUGAACACCCCAG
Molecule: non-coding RNA, 309 nt
Organism: Ciona intestinalis (vase tunicate)
Lineage: Eukaryota; Metazoa; Chordata; Ascidiacea; Phlebobranchia; Cionidae
Source: RefSeq, a predicted model, not a curated record